RNAcentral lists this long non-coding RNA (1098 nucleotides) under Equus asinus (donkey). RNAcentral describes it as "lncRNA (ENSEASG00005034368.1)". The record is from RNAcentral. Lineage: Eukaryota; Metazoa; Chordata; Mammalia; Perissodactyla; Equidae.
AAUACAUCCAGGGCACCUGGUUCUGUGGGUGCAGAGGGCUGAGAGCAGAGAAGGGCCUUGGCGGGGGAUGCAGUGUGGGGGGGAUGGCCCAUGGCUGAGGAUAGGAUGAAUGAAGCAAGGAGGGUCAGGGCCAGGAAGGCUGGCCUUGGGCAAUAGUCCAGGAAAGGAGUGAUAAGAGCCUGAUAGGAGCUGAAGGGGAGAGGACAGAAAGCAGUGCUGGGAGAUGGGGGCCGAGGAGGCAGAUGAGACCAGACUCUUCAGCGGAUUGGCUGCAGGGUGGGGCCAAGGCUCCAAAUCCAGUGAUGGAGCCUCACCUGGUGUGGGUCGCUGUGGAUCUGAGCAUAGGAGGCCACAGGGGAUCAUAGCUGGCGUGUCCCAAAUGCCCCUGAGUGAUGACACAAGAAUGUUUACAUCCAGAAAUUCCUUGUCCGGCCCCUCUCCCAGGAAUGCGCUGGGACCUAAAUUCUUCUGUACAGAGGAAAAGUGCAGCCCUUGGAUGGCCUCUGCAGCAUUGUUCCUUGGCAAACACAGGAAGCUUUCAUCACCUUCUCACACGGUGGGGACCUGCACCACGAGAGGACACGAGCGCGGAAAUUGAGACUAAGCAGUUAGAAACUUCUGAACUAUAGCGUCUACAGAUACUACAGAAUCUAUAGCAAUUUGAUGUUGCUCAGAAACCCAAAGGCAGAUCGGAAAUAAAGAAGCUGAUUUUUCACCCCAGAGGGUUUAAGAAUCAUGGUUCUAGCACACUCUGUAAAAUGUAUUCCAUUUCCUGUUUGUCUUCUCCCCACCCGCUGCUGCUUGACUGCCAGCUCCACAGGGCAGGGAUCUUCUCCGCUUUACUCCCCACGAUCUCCCCAGCUCCUAGAAGAGUGGCUGGCACGUGGUGGGUGCUGGAUGGAUAUUUGUUGAAUGAGCGAAUGUGGAAGAGGUGAUCCGAGAGGGUGAAGCAUCAUCAGCUGGCCACGGGCUAGGAGGGCAGCAAAUGCUCUCUGUUCCCCAUCCCUGCCUGACUUGAACACAGUGCUCUGGAUCCAAACCCCUGUGAGUUGUUCUUGGGGUUCAAGUACCAUAGGACAUGGUUGGGAACUGUUGCCC